UCAGGAAUAAGCAUCGCCUAAUUACGUGCCAGCAGCCGCGGUAAUACUGAGGAGGCAAGCGUUAUUCGUAAUGAUUGGGCGUAAAGCGUCCGCAGGUGGCACUGAAAGUAUGCUGUUAAAGAGUCUAGCUCAACUAGAUAAAGGCAGUGGAAACUACAGAGCUAGAGUACGUUCGGGGCAGAGGGAAUUCCUGGUGUAGCGGUGAAAUGUGUAGAGAUCAGGAAGAACACCGGUGGCGAAAGCGCUCUCCUAGGCCGUACUGACACUGAGGGACGAAAGCUAGGGGAGCGAAUGGGAGGAAAUACCCCAGUAGUCCUCGCCGUAAACGAUGGAUACUAGGCGUGGCUUG
RNAcentral lists this ribosomal RNA (349 nucleotides) under Nostoc sp. BN1. RNAcentral's name for it is "bacterial SSU rRNA". It matches the Rfam family "Bacterial small subunit ribosomal RNA", at positions 480 to 829 of the family's 1533-position model. Lineage: Bacteria; Bacillati; Cyanobacteriota; Cyanophyceae; Nostocales; Nostocaceae. The record is from RNAcentral.